Molecule: long non-coding RNA, 544 nt
Organism: Fukomys damarensis (Damara mole-rat)
Lineage: Eukaryota; Metazoa; Chordata; Mammalia; Rodentia; Bathyergidae
Exons: 4
Source: RefSeq, a predicted model, not a curated record
UUUUAUACCCAUGGCCGGAAGAGUGCUGAAAUCAGCCACCUGGAUCAUGCUGCCUGAGGAAGAUGGGAUGAAUAUUUGAGCCAGACAGGCUGGCCCAGGAGCAUCUACCCACUGUGUGGACUUGAGCUGACUGCAUUAAACCUUGUGGGUUCAGAGGCAAAGGAACUGAACAACUCAGGUGCAGCCUGUCUCGGUGCUUUUCCUCUGCUGUCCCCUUGGCCUGAGUGGCUUUUCCUGCUGCUGCUAUCUGCGAGCUUCACUUCUUCACUUCUUGCAAGCCACUGCUCAAAUGUCAUCUCCUCGGUGAGAACGGAAACCCCAAGAGCAAAGAGACUUUUGUCUCUUCACUGCCCCUAGGAUAGUGCCUGGCACGAAGGACAAUGGCCCAUGGCAACACCACACGUUGGUCUGAGAUCUUCGAACAUUUAAUCCGCACAAUGUGAUUUUGAGGGAGGCAGGAGGUUUCACCCAGCGUGGCCUGUUUAGUACCAGCAAGUCUGUUCAUGAUCCGAAAUGCAGCUGAAAAAAAUAAAUAUAAUUAAAA